CACGUAGGCACCAAGCGUUGUCCGGAUUUAUUGGGCGUAAAGAGCCCGUAGGCGGUUGAGUAAGUCGGGUGUGAAAACUCUGGGCUUAACCCAGAGCCGCCACUCGAUACUGCUCUGACUUGAGUUCGGUAGGGGAGCAGGGAAUUCCUAGUGUAGCGGUGAAAUGCGCAGAUAUUAGGAGGAACACCGGUGGCGAAGGCGCUGCUCUGGGCCGAUACUGACGCUGAGGAGCGAAAGCGUGGGGAGCGAACAGG
Molecule: ribosomal RNA, 254 nt
Filed under: uncultured bacterium
Lineage: Bacteria
Description: partial 16S ribosomal RNA
Rfam family: Bacterial small subunit ribosomal RNA
Source: RNAcentral